UAAAAAAAAGAAACACACGAGCACGGCCUCUCCUCAAUGUGCACGGUACAGGCGCCGCCGCCACGCGCGGCCGGUCUUCCACUCCGUCUUGCCGCCACCCUGCUUCCCCCUCCCAUCCGCCGGCACAGCUGAGGUUGGGUACGCUGUUGUCCAGCGCCGGCGGCGAGCACGCUCCCCCGACUCCGUGUCCUUGUCCAACGCAAAUCAAUGGAGCUGCCGACCUGGGUUGUUGUUGGCUGCUAUAAGAAGGGAGAGUCCUCGGCUCGAAUAGCCAUCAGGUCAAUUUUGGACGAAGCAUCCAACGUCGACACCGAGUUCAAUGCAGGAAGAAGCGCCGAGUUCGCCGGAGGUAGAAGAAGCGCCGAGUUUGCCGGAGGUAGAAGAAUAGUCGUCGAUCCGUCCAAUGUCGCCUGCGUCGGCUACAGUAGAGACACCCAUGUUGUGUGGUUGGUCUGUUGAACAAAGCACUGGAACUGUCAGCAAUUCAUUCAGGUAGUGUUGUUCAAAAUUCAGUAAUUGCUGGUGGGUUCUGAUCCAUCUGGACGGAACUGAACUUCUAAACAUGCAGAGGCAUGCUAGAUAUAUAUAUUAUAUAUUAUAUAUACCAUCGUAGUCCCUCGACGCCGGUCAAUAUCCUUGCCGGAGCCUCGCCUGCCGGCUCCUUGGAGCACGCUGCCCGCCGGUGGACACCCAAUUGUGCGCGAACCCGCCGAGGACUGACCUCGCCACCUCUGUGCCUCCCCCAGGAUCUCCGCCACCGCCUUGUGCUGCUGUGGGCAAGGAUACCGCUGCCUCUCCCUGGUACAUCCAUCUCCACUUCCUCGGGGCGCUGCUCGCUGGCUCAUGACCUGCUAUAGAGUUGACGUUUGCGCACACAAGUUCCCCUGUCUGGCUCUGCCGGCUCCCGUAGUUGAGCAGAGCGAGGAGAUCGACAGAGGAAAUACUCACUUGAUUUUGCAAAUUAUGUUGGGCAUGGAGAUUGAUCUGUUAUUUUUGGUUGUCCCUAGAUUCAAGGAUGACAGCGCCCAAACCUUUCCCUGAUGUUUGGGCAAAGGUGUGUGUGUCUGAUGUGCGAGCAAAGCGACGAAACAAUGGUGGCUGGUUAUGUAUCUCGCGGGACUCGACGGUUACAGUUUCGGGAGCAGCACUGUUGCUUGCUAGCAUAUUUUUUCUUACAUAUAUGAACUGAUGAUGCUUUAUUUGGUGUUGUUUCCCAUGGCAGUACAUUAUGGCUUUGUUGACGAUGAUUUCUGCUAAUGUGCAUACAGCAGAGGAAUAGACCCGGCAAGGAAGAGAGCUACACCAAUGUAGUCGGUGGAAUUAACAAGCAAAGUAAAUCCUGAAGCUCCUGGUUGUAACAAGAGCAUUUGUGAUGGAUCGAUUUUGUGUUGGAGGCCGGGUCUGCACCUCUUACCACAGUCAGUUGUCAUCGGUGGCCAGCCAGCGACACUGGUGAAGGAAUGAGUGUGGCCGGAGAUCGUUUGGUGACGUCCGGUGCAUAUCACGUGACAGAGUGGAGGCGCAGACUCCCCUGCCCCAGCUUUGGCGCCGCCACCUACCAAUGCGCAGCACAAGCCUGACUGACACAGCCCAAAUCUUGAUUGUAAGUUUCUCAUCUUCUAUCUCUUGUUCAUGUGGUCACAUUGAUUUUGCCUUUUGAGAAAGGGUUGAAAGAAGAUUCUUUGCUUCAGACAACUGAAUGUCCAGUAAUAUCAUCAACCUUCAGCGAGCAGCGGCUCAGAACUCCAUCACCUCAAACGGCUUAGGAUAGAUUGAUGUUUCAUUCCACUUGCUUUCUGAUCCAAGUUUCAGCUGGUCCCGACCCAGCAUCUAUCUUCACUUUCAGUUAACAAACUGUAGACUAUGAAACUGAGGAAGACCCAAGGCUUUUGUGUUUUUACUAAAAAGUUUGAUUCUAAAAAUAUGCCCAGCAAUAUACAAGUUGUUUGCUAGCUAAUGGAUCAUUUAUACAGAUCUCGAGAGGGGAGUUGGACUGUGCCUUGAUAGAGCUAGACAAACUGAUAAAGAUUAUUUGAAAGGCUCUUUGCAAGCAUAAAGUGAAUCUGUAAUAGUCAACUUGUUAAUAUAGGUUGGCAAGUACAGCGUUUAUGUUUCUGAAAAUAUAUCACCAUUGUAGAUUCUGAUGAAAACUAUAUUCUCUGCCAGCCACAGAUUCAGAAUCAUGGCCUUUUGCUGCUAAGGUACAUAUUUUGAUUUCAGUUGUAUACCACGUGUUUGCUGUAAUGUUUGGCGGAGAUCAUAAAGUAAUUUUCUCUACCAAUGUUCAUAUUUCGAAAGACACAGUGUCAUGCAAGCGGCACCAUCACGGAGCAUGACGAGGCGUUGCAGUGAAGCUAUAGAGCGCGUUGUUCCACGGUGAGCUCCCAAAUUCACAUGGUGGAUUCUAGAUUACUGGAGCUAUACAAGGCAGCCAUGUGACAACAGAGUAAACUGGAGUGAAAUAAAGUGAUGGAGCCAAAGAAAGAGUGUAGGGCAGUCACGUGGCAUACACAAGGUGAAAGUUCUACAUAAAGACUAACAGAAACAUGGGAAAAUCACAAGGAUGUUCCAUUCAAUACAAACAUGUACAUGUUACAAAAUGGUUGUUUUGCACUGUAAUUUGGUUGAGUUUAGUUCUGGAGAAUGAGUAUGUUCGUUCGGUACUUAGCUUUUAGCAGUAUGUAGAAUAUGAAAGGAUUUGCUGGAAAUUGGGAUAAAUAAUAUGCGUGUGAACUAAAUUUUUUCUUUGAGCUCAUACUAAACGAGAAAAUGCUUCAAAUUUAUGAGGUUGCCUGGGAAGCUAAUGAAGACAGACCAGUGAAUGUUCACGCUUGAGAAUUCUUGGAUUUCUCUGCCACAUACAUAUGGUC
Long non-coding RNA from Triticum aestivum (bread wheat), 2870 nucleotides. RefSeq lists it as uncharacterized. Lineage: Eukaryota; Viridiplantae; Streptophyta; Magnoliopsida; Poales; Poaceae. The transcript is spliced from 6 exons. The record is from RefSeq and is a predicted model, not a curated record.